GUCCACGCCGUAAACGAUUAGUACUAGCUGUAUGGGGUAUCGACUCCCUGUGUAGCGAAGCUAACGCGAUAAGUACUCCGCCUGGGGACUACGACCGCAAGGUUAAAACUCAAAGGAAUUGACGGGGGCCCGCACAAGCAGCGGAGCGUGCGGUUUAAUUCGAAGCUACGCGAAAAACCUUACCAGGGUUUGACAUGGCGUUGACCGCCGGUGAAAAUCGGCUUCCCUUCGGGGCGGCGUCACAGAUGCUGCAUGGCUGUCGU
Molecule: ribosomal RNA, 263 nt
Filed under: uncultured bacterium
Lineage: Bacteria
Description: partial 16S ribosomal RNA
Rfam family: Bacterial small subunit ribosomal RNA
Source: RNAcentral